UGGUAGUCCACGCUGUAAACGAUGUCGAUUUGGAGGUUGUGCCCUUGAGGCGUGGCUUCCGGAGCUAACGCGUUAAAUCGACCGCCUGGGGAGUACGGCCGCAAGGUUAAAACUCAAAUGAAUUGACGGGGGCCCGCACAAGCGGUGGAGCAUGUGGUUUAAUUCGAUGCAACGCGAAGAACCUUACCUGGUCUUGACAUCCACAGAACUUUCCAGAGAUGGAUUGGUGCCUUCGGGAACUGUGAGACAGGUGCUGCAUGGCUGUCGUCAGCUCGUGUUGUGAAAUGUUGGGUUAAGUCCCGCAACGAGCGCAACCCUUAUCCUUUGUUGCCAGCGGUUAGGCCGGGAACUCAAAGGAGACUGCCAGUGAUAAACUGGAGGAAGGUGGGGAUGACGUCAAGUCAUCAUGGCCCUUACGACCAGGGCUACACACGUGCUACAAUGGCAUAUACAAAGAGAAGCGACCUCGCGAGAGCAAGCGGACCUCAUAAAGUAUGUCGUAGUCCGGAUUGGAGUCUGCAACUCGACUCCAUGAAGUCGGAAUCGCUAGUAAUCGUAGAUCAGAAUGCUACGGUGAAUACGUUCCCGGGCCUUGUACACACCGCCCGUCACACCAUGGGAGUGGGUUGCAAAAGAAGUAGGUAGCUUAACCUUCGGGAGGGCGCUUACCACUUUGUGAUUCAUGACUGGGGUGAAGUCGU
This 701-nucleotide ribosomal RNA is filed under the name Klebsiella sp. RNAcentral describes it as "bacterial SSU rRNA". It matches the Rfam family "Bacterial small subunit ribosomal RNA", at positions 788 to 1489 of the family's 1533-position model. The record is from RNAcentral. Lineage: Bacteria; Pseudomonadati; Pseudomonadota; Gammaproteobacteria; Enterobacterales; Enterobacteriaceae.